AUACGGAGGAUCCGAGCGUUAUCCGGAUUUAUUGGGUUUAAAGGGUGCGCAGGCGGCCAUUUAAGUCAGCGGUUAAAUCGUGGGGCUCAACCCCAUUCUGCCGUUGAUACUGGGUGGCUUGAUUGCGGUCGAGGUUGGCGGAAUUUGUUGUGUAGCGGGGAAAUGCGUAGAUAUGACGAAGAACACCGAUUGCGUAGGCAGCUGACCAGACCGCAAAUGACGCUCAUGCACGAAAGUGCGGGGAUCGAACAGGAUUAGAUACCCUGGUAGUCCGCACAGUAAACGAUGAAUACUUGUUUUCGGCGAUAUAAUGUCGGAGGCAAAGCGAAAGCGAUAAGUAUUCCACCUGGGGAGUACGCCGGCAACGGUGAAACUCAAAGGAAUUGGCGGGG
Molecule: ribosomal RNA, 392 nt
Filed under: uncultured bacterium
Lineage: Bacteria
Description: partial 16S ribosomal RNA
Rfam family: Bacterial small subunit ribosomal RNA
Source: RNAcentral